RNAcentral lists this unclassified non-coding RNA (303 nucleotides) under uncultured Thielavia. Its description in RNAcentral is "sequence contains ITS1". The stretch from base 1 to 105 matches the Rfam family "5.8S ribosomal RNA", at positions 50 to 154 of the family's 154-position model. Lineage: Eukaryota; Fungi; Ascomycota; Sordariomycetes; Sordariales; Chaetomiaceae. The record is from RNAcentral.
GAAAUGCGAUAAGUAAUGUGAAUUGCAGAAUUCAGUGAAUCAUCGAAUCUUUGAACGCACAUUGCGCCCGCCAGUAUUCUGGCGGGCAUGCCUGUUCGAGCGUCAUUUCAACCAUCAAGCCCCCAGGCUUGUGUUGGGGACCUGCGGCUGCCGCAGGCCCCGAAAAGCAGUGGCGGGCUCGCGGUCACACCGAGCGUAGUAAAACACCUCGCUUAGGGCGUGCUGCGGGCGCCGGCCGUAAAAAGCCAACGUACCCCCCCCAAGGUUGACCUCGGAUCAGGUAGGAAUACCCGCUGAACUUAA